RNAcentral lists this ribosomal RNA (467 nucleotides) under uncultured Enterobacteriaceae bacterium. RNAcentral's name for it is "bacterial SSU rRNA". It matches the Rfam family "Bacterial small subunit ribosomal RNA", at positions 916 to 1381 of the family's 1533-position model. The record is from RNAcentral. Lineage: Bacteria; Pseudomonadati; Pseudomonadota; Gammaproteobacteria; Enterobacterales; Enterobacteriaceae.
ACGGGGCCCGCACAAGCGGUGGAGCAUGUGGUUUAAUUCGAUGCAACGCGAAGAACCUUUACCUGGUCUUGACAUCCACAGAACUUUCCAGAGAUGGAUUGGUGUCUUCGGGAACUGUGAGACAGGUGCUGCAUGGCUGUCGUCAGCUCGUGUUGUGAAAUGUUGGGUUAAGUCCCGCAACGAGCGCAACCCUUAUCCUUUGUUGCCAGCGGUCCGGCCGGGAACUCAAAGGAGACUGCCAGUGAUAAACUGGAGGAAGUGGGAUGACGUCAAGUCAUCAUGGCCCUUACGACCAGGGCUACACACGUGCUACAAUGGCGCAUACAAAGAGAAGCGACCUCGCGAGAGCAAGCGGACCUCAUAAAGUGCGUCGUAGUCCGGAUUGGAGUCUGCAACUCGACUCCAUGAAGUCGGAAUCGCUAGUAAUCGUGGAUCAGAAUGCCACGGUGAAUACGUUCCCGGGCCUU